AAAUCAGCCGUUUCCGGAACAGCCGCUUACAUCAUAGAAAUUAUGAUUCGCGGUCUUUCUAAAUAGCCGAGACGAGAUGUUAUUGAUGUUCACUGGUUAAUGCUUUCAAAAAUAUAUUUUUCAGUAUAAUAAUAUGCACACCAGAAGCAGCGAUAUAUUUCAGCAAUGCACGAAUUUCGUUUUUGUGAGGAUGUGAGCGACCAAAGCUAUCCGGAAGUCAACAUCGGCAUGCCUUUCAACUAAGCUUUAACACCAAUUUACGUUGACUGUAAGUGUCUAUGUGACAGUUUUGGUGUUCAGCUAGCAAUUUGCAGUUAUGGCCGCCAAUGUGCAGAUAAAAGGCAAAGCUUCAAAGUUUGACUGUCUCAUCUGUAGCAGGAAUCUGUCUUCAAGGAAGCGACUUGAGACACAUAUGCAGGCAAAUCAUAACAGAAGUUCAGUAGAGUCUAGCUACAAAUGCAAACACUUUUUGAACAGGAUGCUUAAGUGUAGAAGCAAGUGGACAACAGCAAAAAUAAUGGUGUCUUGUAAAGUUGCAGGAAGACUCUUACCAGUCUCACCAGAUGAAUGCUGUGAAGGUCUUCUGCAGUCAACAAACUCAACUUCUGCAUUGAAUUUAAAAAAGUGUUUUCAUGUUGAAAUUAAUGGACAAAAGUACUCCAGUCAGGCAUAUCAGCGAAUGAAAAAAAGAACUUGUUAUUUUGUGGUUUGUCAUUCAGGUGAAGUAGUUUCAGUCAAGUUUUUUUUUGUUAACAAAGAAAAGAAAGUUUUGCUGUUGUGAAAGUAUAUAAAAUACCUGAUGACUGUUACAUCCUUAGAUCUAGUGGCAGACAUAUAUUUAAAGUUG
Molecule: long non-coding RNA, 847 nt
Organism: Mercenaria mercenaria
Lineage: Eukaryota; Metazoa; Mollusca; Bivalvia; Venerida; Veneridae
Exons: 3
Source: RefSeq, a predicted model, not a curated record